AUAGUUGGAACUUUAAUCUGCGC
This 23-nucleotide non-coding RNA is filed under the name Arabidopsis thaliana (thale cress). Lineage: Eukaryota; Viridiplantae; Streptophyta; Magnoliopsida; Brassicales; Brassicaceae. The record is from RNAcentral.